RNAcentral lists this unclassified non-coding RNA (268 nucleotides) under air metagenome. Its description in RNAcentral is "partial contains small subunit ribosomal RNA, internal transcribed spacer 1, and 5.8S ribosomal RNA". The stretch from base 1 to 46 matches the Rfam family "Eukaryotic small subunit ribosomal RNA", at positions 1786 to 1831 of the family's 1831-position model. The record is from RNAcentral.
AAGUCGUAACAAGGUUUCCGUAGGUGAACCUGCGGAAGGAUCAUUACAGUUAUUAAUUCCAGCCAGCGCUUAACUGCGCGGCAGGAACUAAUCUUACACACUGUGUUUUUUGUUAUUACAAGAACUAUUGCUUUGGCUUGGCCUUCGGGUUGGGCCAGAGUGCUGUAAACUUCAAUUUUAUUGAAUUGUUUUUUUAACUAUAAGUCAAUUUGUUUGAUUAAAUUCAAAAUAAUCUUCAAAACUUUCAACAACGGAUCUCUAGGUUCUC